GACGAACGCUGGCGGCGUGCUUAACACAUGCAAGUCGAACGGAAAGGCCCUGCUUUUGUGGGGUGCUCGAGUGGCGCACGGGUGAGUAACACGUGAGUAACCUCCCCUUUACUUUGGGAUAACUCCAGGAAACUGGGACUAAUACCGGAUAGGAGCUCCUGCUGCAUGGUGGGGGUUGGACAGUUUCGGCGGUUGGGGAUGGACUCGCGGCUUAUCAGCUUGUUGGUGGGGUAGUGGCUUACCAGGGCUUUGACGGGUAGCCGGCAUGGGAGGGGGACCGGGCACAAUGGGACUGAGAGAGGGCCCAGAGGGCUACGGGGGGCAGCAGUGGGAAAUAUUGCACAAUGGGCGGAAGCGUGAUGCAGCAACGUCGCGUGCGGGAUGACGGCCUGCGGGGUGUAAACCGCUUUCGCCUGUGACGAAGCGUGAGUGACGGUAAUGGGUAAAGAAGCACCGGCUAACUACGUG
This 468-nucleotide ribosomal RNA is filed under the name uncultured bacterium. RNAcentral's name for it is "partial 16S ribosomal RNA". It matches the Rfam family "Bacterial small subunit ribosomal RNA", at positions 28 to 507 of the family's 1533-position model. The record is from RNAcentral.